UGCUCGCCAGCCUUUCUAUGCUCCUGUUCUGCUUUAUUUCAGGAGCAUAGAAAGGCUGGGGAGCA
This 65-nucleotide microRNA precursor is filed under the name Pongo abelii (Sumatran orangutan). RNAcentral describes it as "miRNA". Lineage: Eukaryota; Metazoa; Chordata; Mammalia; Primates; Hominidae. The record is from RNAcentral.